Molecule: long non-coding RNA, 549 nt
Filed under: Pan troglodytes (chimpanzee)
Lineage: Eukaryota; Metazoa; Chordata; Mammalia; Primates; Hominidae
Description: lincRNA
Source: RNAcentral
UUGUUUUGAGACACAGUUUCACUUUUGUUGCCCGGGCUGGGGUGCAAUGGCAUGACCUCAGCUUACCGCAAGCUCCGCCUCCCGGGUUCAAGCAAUUCUCCUGCCUCAGCCUCCCCAGUAGCUGGGACUACCUGCAUGCGCCAUCACGCCUGGAUAAUUUUGUAUUUUUAGUAGAGAUGGCGUUUCCCCAGGUUGGUCAGGCUGGUCUUGAACUCCUGACUUCAGGUGAUCCGCCCGCAUCGGCCCCCUAAAGUGCUGGGAUUACAUGUGUGAGCCACUGCGCCUGGCCAUGUUGGGCACUUUUAUAAGCACUUUACAUUAUCUAAUGCAACCAAAAACUGAGGUUUGCCCUAUUAAUAAAUGAGAAAACUGAGGCACUCAUCUGUUAAGUGCCUUGCUCAGGUCCCAUGUCCUUGGAACCAGGAGUCCUUCUGUUGAUGUUGGAAGGUUCAAAAGUGCUAUUACUUGUCACCCAGAUGGCAAAGAAAUGACAUACAAAGGCCCAAGUCUUCCAGAACUGAAAACGGUAAUAAAACCUUCAUUUAUCUG